This 515-nucleotide ribosomal RNA is filed under the name uncultured bacterium. RNAcentral's name for it is "bacterial SSU rRNA". It matches the Rfam family "Bacterial small subunit ribosomal RNA", at positions 8 to 518 of the family's 1533-position model. The record is from RNAcentral.
AGAGUUGAUUAUGGCUCAGGAUGAACGCUGGCGGCGUGCCUAACACAUGCAAGUCGAACGGGACUGAUUUGAAGAUCCUCUUCGGAGAUGAUUCGUUUUAGUUAGUGGCGGACGGGUGAGUAACGCGUGAGUAACCUGCCCUUGAGAGGGGGAUAACGUUCUGAAAAGAACGCUAAUACCGCAUAACAUUAUUGAGUCGCAUGGCUCGGUAAUCAAAACUCCGGUGCUCAGGGAUGGACUCGCGUCCGAUUAGUUAGUUGGUGAGGUAACGGCUCACCAAGACCGCGAUCGGUAGCCGGACUGAGAGGUUGAACGGCCACAUUGGGACUGAGACACGGCCCAGACUCCUACGGGAGGCAGCAGUGGGGGAUAUUGCGCAAGUUACGGGGGGAAACCCUGACGCAGCAACGCCGCGUGGAGGAUGACGGUUUUCGGAUUGUAAACUCCUUUUGUCAGGGACGAAAAUUGACGGUACCUGACGAAUAAGCUCCGGCUAACUACGUGCCAGCCGCGGC